Molecule: ribosomal RNA, 465 nt
Filed under: Vreelandella stevensii
Lineage: Bacteria; Pseudomonadati; Pseudomonadota; Gammaproteobacteria; Oceanospirillales; Halomonadaceae
Description: partial 16S ribosomal RNA
Rfam family: Bacterial small subunit ribosomal RNA
Source: RNAcentral
CCUACGGGAGGCAGCAGUGGGGAAUAUUGGACAAUGGGGGGAACCCUGAUCCAGCCAUGCCGCGUGUGUGAAGAAGGCCCUCGGGUUGUAAAGCACUUUCAGUGAGGAAGAACGCCUGGUGGUUAAUACCCAUCAGGAAAGACAUCACUCACAGAAGAAGCACCGGCUAACUCCGUGCCAGCAGCCGCGGUAAUACGGAGGGUGCGAGCGUUAAUCGGAAUUACUGGGCGUAAAGCGCGCGUAGGUGGCUUGAUAAGCCGGUUGUGAAAGCCCCGGGCUCAACCUGGGAACGGCAUCCGGAACUGUCAAGCUAGAGUGCAGGCGAGGAAGGUAGAAUUCCCGGUGUAGCGGUGAAAUGCGUAGAGAUCGGGAGGAAUACCAGUGGCGAAGGCGGCCUUCUGGACUGACACUGACACUGAGGUGCGAAAGCGUGGGUAGCAAACAGGAUUAGAUACCCCUGUAGUC